RNA transcript from Aegilops tauschii subsp. strangulata, 3094 nucleotides. RefSeq lists it as uncharacterized. Lineage: Eukaryota; Viridiplantae; Streptophyta; Magnoliopsida; Poales; Poaceae. The record is from RefSeq and is a predicted model, not a curated record.
AAUCUUUUGACACCCAACCAUUUGAUAAAUUAUGCAUUAAAAUGACCUAGUAUUUUAGAAAAAUUAUUUGGUCCAAUUUUGCAACAAAUAUCUGGUAGGUCCUUCACAAAAAACCCGAUUAUUGGCACUCCAAAAAUUGUAAAAUGAUUUUUUGUGCAAAGAAAAUGAAAACCCCUCAAAUCAACAUUGUUUGUUGUCCCAAGAUACACACUUGUGCAAAAUAUUGGGUCAUUUGAAAAACUAUAAGCGGUAAUAUGUUGAAUGUUUACCCAGAAUAAGAGGGUACAAAAUAUAAAAAAACAGAAGAAAAAACAAAACUACGCAAGGUGAAUUAUGAUUGGUGGAAUCUGUUGUGGCAUGGAUCAAUUGAUACAGCCCACUGCAGAAAGCAUCCGUCGAUCGAUCCAUUCAUCCAGCCUCUCUCCCUCUUGCCCGAACCCUAGAGCUCCGCUCCUCCUUGCCGCUGCCACCUCCACCUCCCUCUCCCCGAUCCAGACCCAGCCACCACCCAUGGCGCCAGCCAGAGCAGCCACCGGCGAGGCUAGAGGCCACCGGAUCCGGGAUCAGGGCGGCGCAUAGCCCCUCCUCCCGUGAGAUCCGGGACACAGUCGCCCAUCUGGAUCAAGCAGCUCCUCUGGACGCUGCACCAUCUCCACCGUCCGGAUUUGGUGCUCCUCGCGCGACCCACCCCCCAGCACGCGUCUCCACCGUCUCUUCCCCGACGUCCUUGGCGAGGGAAUGAAUAGGAGCUCCGGCCAAGGCCAUGGACGCCACCAGCAGAAGCUCCGCCUCGGAUCUUGCGACCUCGUUGACCGGAUCCAGCAGGUCCCUGCCACUGUGUCAAGAUCCUCCCCUCCCUCCUAGAGAGGCCCUCUCUCCCACACGCUCUGCAUCCGCUACGGCCGUUGCAGCUUCCACCUCCAGAAGAGCACCUGCUCCUCGUGCGGUUACCCGGCCGCCCGCAUCCGCAAGUAGAGAUCGACGAUCGGCUGGGCAGUGUUAGCGCUAAACCUUCAUGCGUACUCACUCUGCUGCAAGCUUUAAUAAUCUUGAUUGAUGCAGACGCCACUGUAUGCAUGCGAAUUUUCAUUUGCAGAUGCUUUCACUUCACCCUUUUCUUUUCGUUUCUUUUCUCUCGAAACAAGGAAAGGAUUUAUUCUAACGGCCAUCUCUAUUUUAGCCUUUUAGGACUCUUAUUAAUUAACAUGCCUACUCUUCUCUGUGGUUUAAGGCCAGUCAAUUCACACUGCAUACAUGCAUAGCUAGCUUCCUCAUCUCCAGUCAAUGAGUUUGCCUUGAUUCGGGUCUUCUCUUCUCCUGGUGAUCAAAAUCAACACCGCACCCUUCCGUUCCUAUCUUAUUUACUAGUUCCCUUUCGUUUCUGUUCCUGCCAUAAUUAGUGUGGUAAACUGGUAAUCAGCUAGCUCGGUGGUCACCAGAGUACGUACUAUUUUAUUUACUAGUACUUUGCCUUGGAUUGUAAUGUGGAUCAGGAGAUGAACUGUAUAUUUUGUUUGUGUCAUGCAUGGCUGUGUCAUACAUGUAUUGACUGAACUUGACAAAAUGUGCAAUUUGAAUCUAGUACUUCUUCCAUUUCUGCUUUCCCCCAACCGUCCAUAAGAUUUAUCUAGGGUUUAAGCUAUUUUGUUUAGUUUGCUUGCGCUGCCUGAAAUGAUGCACCAAUUCUGUAUCUUAUCCUUGUGCUGGAUGGUGGACCUGUCAACGUAUUGACUUGAGUGACGACAGAUGCGGUAUUGUUUAGAUGGGUGGUUUGAAUAGUUCGUCCAGAGAAAAUUGUUUAUAGAAUAGAGAUUUGGCGAAAUAUGGUGCUUGUUUAUUGAUGUGAUAGAUACAUCCAAGACAAUUAUUGUGGCUUCAUCAGUGGGGUGUGUUUUUGUUUCGUUCAAUGUCUGAUCUGGUUAUAAACAUAACCACAUGACGUAUUUAGAUGGGUGUAUUUAGUGGGGUGUAUUUAGACGGGUGUAUAUAAAAAUGAUUUGAUCUUCUCUUCCUUGGUUUCCUGAUGCGCUCCUAUUCCACAACCACAGGGAUGGCACAUCGAUUGGGGACGAGCAGGAUGGGGCCAACAAGCCUAGGAGGAGGAGGAGCUCCAUCCGCAGCAGCUCAUGCUCAUGGAGGAACAAUUCUGAAUCGUUGUUGUUACUCUGCUGUCCUGGAGUCGCCAUCCACAGCAGCCGUGGUGUGGCUGAGCCUCUGCUACGGCUACAACCUCCCUCUGGUGAGCUCCUCCCUGUUCCUUCUUCUCUGAUGUAGCUCCUACAUGGCCUUGGCCAUGAUUUGGGUUGGAUGUGGGGCUCUAGUAGUUGCUGCUAGAUGUUGUAACCAAGCAUCAACUCCUACUGGAGCUCUCUGGUGAUAAAUUCAUGCGAUUCUAGGGUCUGUCAGUAGCUGCCCAUGUGUACUUGCUUUAUAUAUGUGCUCCUAUGAUGCUUUGGUGAUAUGGGGUGGCUAAUAUCAAGAUCAUGUUCGUGUUGAUGCUUAUCUUGCGUGUCUCUGGUGGUGGUGGUGUUGACAGCAGUUACACACCUAGCUUGUAACUAAUAUCAGUACUGCUAAUUUACCUCAAGUUUAUCUAAACAUGGUUGAAAUGAGCGCUGCAAAUUUUGAUGUCUAAAAUCAAUUUUUACCCCAAGUCCUUAAGUAAUUAUUUUCAUUACGUCAUAGUUAGUUGAGAAUAUUGACUUGAAUAUUUUAUGUAUGCCCUGAUGCAUGUACACAUACAGUUGAGCAAAUACCGAGCUGCAGUGGAACAACCUGGAGUUAGAGAACUUCAAGGAAAAGAUCAACGAGGUGACCGGCGUUAUGGAGGCUGUGUACGGUGGCGACCACAAGUUCUUCGAUGCUGGGCUUUCAUGUUUCUUUGUGAGCAUCAGGACAAAGAAGUCGGAGGAAGAAUAGUUCUAGCUCAUUGGAGCUAGUUCUGAGAGUAAUGAAGCCCUUUCUGCUGCUCCUAUUUGUAUGUGUGUUAUAUGAUGUAGCAGAAUCUGGCUCAUGUGAUUGUACACUUGUGGAGCUUGUUAUCUGAUUGUAAACUUGAUGCUGAUCACAUUUGUAUGUGUGUUAUAUGAUGUAA